Molecule: ribosomal RNA, 463 nt
Filed under: uncultured bacterium
Lineage: Bacteria
Description: partial 16S ribosomal RNA
Rfam family: Bacterial small subunit ribosomal RNA
Source: RNAcentral
GACGAACGCUGGCGGCGUGCUUAACACAUGCAAGUCGAACGGAAAGGCCUUUUCGGAGGUACUCGAGUGGCGAACGGGUGAGUAACACGCGGGUGAUCUGCCCUGCACUCUGGGAUAAGCCUGGGAAACUGGGUCUAAUACCGGAUAGGACCGCACUUUAGUGUGUGUGGGGGAAAGUUUUUGCGGUGUAGGAUGAGCCCGCGGCCUAUCAGCUUGUUGGUGGGGUAAUGGCCUACCAAGGCGGCGACGGGUAGGCGGACUGGGAGGUUGGUCGGCCACAUUGGGACUGGGAUACGGCCCAGACUCCUACGGGAGGCAGCAGGGGGGAAUAUUUCACAAUGGGCGCAAGCCUGAUGCAGCGACGCCGCGUGGGGGAUGACGGCCUUCGGGUUGUAAACUCCUUUCGCCAUGGACGAAGCGUUUUGUGACGGUACCUGGAGAAGAAGCACCGGCUAACUACGUG